Molecule: non-coding RNA, 525 nt
Organism: Odocoileus virginianus texanus
Lineage: Eukaryota; Metazoa; Chordata; Mammalia; Artiodactyla; Cervidae
Source: RefSeq, a predicted model, not a curated record
GAGGGCACAGCGGGUGCAAAGGCCCUGAGGCGCUAGUGUUCCUGGAACGGGCGAGGAGGCCUGUGUGGCUGGAGCAGCGGGGGUGGGGGGCACAGGAGAGCGGGGCUCACCGGAUGAGGUCUGCAUGGGGCAGAUGUGGGGUUUGGUAAGGACCUGGCUUGUACACUGCCUGUGAUGAGAGGGAAAGGUCUGACUUUAGGUUUCAAGGGAACCUCUGGCUGCUGAGCUGGGAAGAGACCGUCGGGGCAGUUAGGAGAUUUGUCAGCUGUACGUACCUCAGUGAAGCUGGAAAAACCCCACGCCAACUGGAGAUUGUUGAUUUUCGGUGGGAAGGCUGGCGUGGAAGCCCGGCUGGGGGUCUGGACCCUGCUGACCUCCGAAGGCAGAGCCUGGGGCCUGUCAACCUACCUGUUUUGGCACACAGCGCCUGCCCACCCGUCCGGAUAUGCUGGGCUCCCCGGGUAGAACCCCUCGCUCGGGGCCCAGACCCAGCCAAGUGUGUGUGCCAGGCAGGGCGGAGGCACG